AAAACUCAAGAGAAUCUCCUCAAAAUCUAAUAAACAUGGAGGAGUGCCGAAGGUGUACGCAGUAUAAUGAUGUUAUGCUGUUAAUCUCUCAGGCAAAAGGACGGAGGGAA
This 110-nucleotide non-coding RNA is filed under the name human gut metagenome. RNAcentral describes it as "Glycine riboswitch". It matches the Rfam family "Glycine riboswitch aptamer". Rfam says of the family: This family represents the bacterial glycine riboswitch. Glycine riboswitches usually consist of two metabolite-binding aptamers domains with similar structures in tandem. The record is from RNAcentral.